CGGACGGGUGAGUAACGCGUGGGUAACCUGCCCUGUACACACGGAUAACAUACCGAAAGGUAUGCUAAUACGGGAUAACAUAAGAAAUUCGCAUGUUUUUCUCAUCAAAGCUCCGGCGGUACAGGAUGGACCCGCGUCUGAUUAGCUAGUUGGUGAGGUAAUGGCUCACCAAGGCGACGAUCAGUAGCCGACCUGAGAGGGUGAUCGGCCACAUUGGAACUGAGACACGGUCCAA
This 235-nucleotide ribosomal RNA is filed under the name uncultured bacterium. RNAcentral describes it as "partial 16S ribosomal RNA". It matches the Rfam family "Bacterial small subunit ribosomal RNA", at positions 99 to 334 of the family's 1533-position model. The record is from RNAcentral.